CAUUCGCCCAUUCCAUUCGUGGAACCCUCCCCACUUACCCCAUCAUUCGUGAACGAGCCCUUUGAAGCAAAACCCUUGCCACCGUCGUCCCCAGGUUCCUUGCUACCGUCGUCCCCAGGUUCUCCGUUCUCGGCGUCUCCGCUUCUUCCUCUUUCCCAGGUCCAGAACCCAGGUAGCUCGGCACGUCGUCCACUGGCUUCCCUCUUCGUGGCUUGGAGGUUGGAGCAGCUUGCCGUUUGUCGUCGUCUCACCUGUCGCGUCGUCUCGUCUCUCGCCGGUUGCCGUCCGUUUCUCCGUCGAAGUGACUAGAGCAUUUGAGCCCCGUCUCAUCAGCCAAGAUCCCUCCGUUCCAAGGUUCUGGCUUUGCACACCUACUCUUUUUUGUUAAGAGGUUCAAAAACUCCCCCUGCUUUCUCCACUCAAAACGGCAGAAGCUCAACGCUUUCCUCUCUUUUAAGGAGCCACCACAAGCCACGACAGCCCUUCCUUAUGGUGCUGCAGAAGUCUUGUCCUCACAAUGCUUUCAGAGGCUCCAGUGCUUUACGAUCAGCAGCCAACUUCUUCUCGAGAUCUCUGGAAACGCAGUCCACUUCCUUGAAUCUCCCAAGCGCAGUAGUUUUCUUAGUUGCAGGCUCCAUAAACUCGUUGUCAAGUGGGGUAAUUAGUUGGUGGCCACGGCCGCGGAUGUAUUGGGUGAUUCAGGAGGAAAGAUUGAGACUGGUAAAAAUUAAUAUCUUGCAGGUGAUACUUAAGCGGCAGGAUUUGUCUAUGCGCGCCGGGACGACGGCUUCGAGGAGGGUGGGGUCCAAGGUCCAUGAGAGGGGAGAGUAUUUCGGCAACAACAGUUCUCUAAAGCCAGUGUAGCGUAAGUAGUGAGCACCAAAUCCUUAGCCAUCAACUCCUCAGCCUUGUCCUUUUGUUACCAUAGUACCUCAAAUAAGACAGUGAAUCUGGGAAAAUGUGAUCCUCCAAUUGUGAAAUUCAAGUUGACACCACCGACACUGAAUACACAAUCAGAGUUGGACCAUUACCUUUAUCAAGCGCGACAACGACAAGAGAGAGCAAAGUAAGAGGGAUCUCGUUGUCGCGCUUGAUAAAGGUAAUGGUCCAACUCUGAUUGCGUGUUCAGUGUCGGUGGUGUCAACUUGGAUUUCACAAUUAGAGGAUCACAUUUUUCCAGAUUCACUGUCUUAUUUGAGGUACUAUGGUAACAAAAAGGCAAGGGCUGAGGAGUUGAUGGCUAAGAAUUUGGUGCUCACUACUUAAGCUACACUGGCUGCUUUGGAGAACAAAGGGGCAGAGUCGCCGGUAAAAGAGGUUGUUAGGAGCCGGACAAAGGCAAAUGAUGAUGCACCGCAAUUCCAAGAGGAGGGAGGUGGGCUGUCACCGCCACACCCAUCAAGGAUGGCUACGUGGACGCAUUUGCAUUCAUGAGUUUCCUGGAUUUUGAACCAUUCUCCAAUAGAGAAAGUUGGAACCGGUUCAUUCAGCGUCCCAUAAAUCAAGGCCUCAACAUCGGCCACGAGCGCCUUUGAGGUAUUGAUGAAGGCAAUUUUGUUAAGAAAAACAAAAGACAAUGAAUUGUUAGGGAUGCUACCAAAAACUAUUGAGACUCUAUGCUGAACUUAAGGAAGAAGAACGGAAAGUGUAUAAUUGGAUAAAAGGUGAAGUGAUGCUUUUAAUGAGGAAGGAUACCAAAAGAGUUAAGUUUACUGCUGUACUAAGUACCAUUUUGCAUCUUUGUCAAAGUCUGUGCUGAUGUAGCAUUGUGUCCCAGUGAUCUUGGAAACACAUUCCGUUUAAGUCUUGAAGGUAUAUACUCUCCUUGUCACACAGUAGAGAUAGUAGAUAUUUACUUUGAGCUCGUUUGGGAAGUAACAGAGCUACUUUUUUUUUUUUUAAUUAUGAAAAGUCAUAAUAGGCGUGUUUGGAACUAUUUUAAAGAAAAGCUUAACUUCUCGAAAAGUUAAUUCAUAGCUUUUUGCUCCAUAAGUCAUUCUAUCACUCCCGUAUAAAAUGUUUUCUGUUUCUGCUAUAAAUAUUGGCAUUCCACCACCAUUUUCACGCAAGGUUCCAUCUGCUAGAAGCACUGGCCUUCCACGACUAUUUUCGCAUAAUGAUUCAUGGAAGUAUUGACCUUCCAUCACCGUUUUUAGACAAUGAUCCAUCCACCUACUGCAUAUAUUCUUUCAGGUAUUUUUUUUAUCAUUUUACCACUCUAUUUUUAUUAUUAAAUUUGUAUUUAACAUUGUGUGUGGUAUGAAAUCUCAAUUUUAAUUUUAUUUUUUCACAUGUGAUUUUAUUUUUAUAUAGCUUGGUAUUAUUUUUAUAGUUAGUUAUAGCAAGUUCUCUAUCCCAAUAAAGGAAGAGGGAGUUCUAAUAGGAGAAAAAAAAAAUAAAAAAACAGCAACAAAAUAUACAUUGACACACAUUUUACAUUUGUUUUUUAUUUUCACCUACCAUAUCAUACACAAUAAAACAGCAAACACUAACUACACACUAAUUUCUUUGGCAUUGCCACCAAGAUUAUUGUGAAUUAGAAUUUAUGGGUGAGGUGAAGUAGAAGAACCAGUUUCUAAUGAUAUUAUGUGAGAAGAAUUGAAUGUGAAAGCCCCAGCAAAAUGGAACUAAUAAGAGAACAAAUAAAAAAUCAAUUGUCUAAUCUAUUGUAAUCUUAGUGAUUAGAUUAUAUAAAAUCAACAUUCAAUAUUAAAAAAUAUUUAUUAUCAUCGUUAUUUUAAUAUCUAUUUUCUUGUGUAAAAAAAUUGUAUUUUUUGAGUUAUUUAUCCAAACGCUACAACUUUAAAAUAAGUACUUCUAUCACUAAAAAUCCAAACACAAAAUAGCUUAUAAAUAAGCUGCUAUUAAUAAAAGUCCUUAUACUUUUAGCUCUUCUUCCAAAAAAACUUAUUUAAGUUAUUUAUCUAAAUUGGACUUAGUAGAUUCCUAUAUUCAAUUUAUCAAUGUUUUUCAUGUUUUCUCUUUCUAUUCCAUAAUCCAUAAUUCCAUGUGACUGCUUCAACGUCGUCGCUUACUUUAUUACAGUAAAUUUACAUCCUUCUCAUGAAAUGGAACCUGAGAACAGGAUUUUCACAAAAUUUUAACGCAUGAUGCUGAACUUUUGAUCCUUAAUUUAAAGAGACACCAAACUUACCACUUUAGACUGAGUCAUAAUUCCCGAAAAUUACUGGCACUUCUCUGGAUUAGUGCAGUAUUAGAAUCAGAAUGUUCAACAUAAUUUAGUGUCUGAUGUACAAUUAAUUUCUUUUAUCAAAUUCCAGAGUGCUCAGUGUUUUGAAUCUUGGAAUAUGGAUGAAUUCGUUUUAUUUUCCCUUAAAACAUUUUAAAGAAUAUACAUAGUUCUGUUCGGCUCCUGGUUUCACAAUAUGAAUGAUGUCUUGGUAUGUUGAUUCAGAUAGAAAUAUCUAUUUUCUGUGAUAACUGUGAAGAAGAGGUAAACAUGACGUUUAGUAUACUGUUUUUGAUAAGAUGUUUCCAAUAAUCCACGGUUGUUGCGAAGGCUAGUUGAAACGCUGCAAAAAUGUGAAGCUUAUGAGUGCCCAAUUUGCUCUUCUCCUUCAGCAAACAUCGUUAUCUUCUGCCGAGUCUAUAUUCUGAGAAUUAUACAAUCCAGCGGAUCCCCUCGUUGUCUUCUUUGCUGUAGAGCUCUAUCUGAAUCUGACUUGUUCUCAGCCCCAAUCGAGCCUUCUAGAGCUGAUAGUACCUCUACAUCCUCAUAAUCGGAUCAAGAGUUAUCUUCCAAAUCAUCUGCCUUGAUAAAAUUUCUCAAAGAAUCAAGAGAACAGAAGCCAACAGCAAAAUCGGUUGUGUUUUCACAAUUUCGCAAGGUGUUAGUGUUAUUGGAAGUGCUGUUGAAGGAGGCUGGUUUCAAGACUUUGCGCAUUGAUGGCUUGAUGACGGCUGAACAGAGGACUGGUGUUAUUGAUCAAUUUCAAGACACUAAAGAAAAUGGACCGACCGUUCUGCUUGCAGGCCUUAGGGUUUUAGGUGCAGGUGUAAAUCUCAGCCGCCACCACGGUGUAUUUCAUGGAGCCAUGGUGGAAUGCGGCUGUCGAGGAACAGGCAAUGGAUCGCGUCCAUUGCAUUGGACAGAAAGAGACUAAGGAUUGUUAGAUUGGUUGUUCGUGACAGCAUUGAGGAAAAGAGGCUGAUGUUGCAGGAGGAGAAGAGGGGAAGUCAUUCUGGUAGCCUGAAGUAUAAAGAUCUGAAGUAUAAAGAUCUAAAUUUCCUUAUGUCCAUAGAAUGAUGGUUCCAUUGCUCCAAUUUUGAAUGAGUUGCUUGCAUGUGUAAAUUUUAGGUUUAAUCAGUUUGUGAGGACCUUUAAUUUGAUAGAAAUAGUAUAUACAAAUAUUGACUUUACUUGAUGUAGAUUCCUAAACAGGUAGGGUAUACCAAUUCCAUUUGUUCAUCUAAAAUGAUGUAGUUAUCAAAUUUCUGUUACUAAACAGUUGGAUUAAUCUCAGCAUCACGGUGGUUUACUAAAUAAAUAGUAAAUAGAAAUAUAGAACGAUGGAAUUGAA
This is a long non-coding RNA of Arachis duranensis, 4541 nucleotides long. RefSeq lists it as uncharacterized. Lineage: Eukaryota; Viridiplantae; Streptophyta; Magnoliopsida; Fabales; Fabaceae. The record is from RefSeq and is a predicted model, not a curated record. The transcript is spliced from 3 exons.